This 1123-nucleotide ribosomal RNA is filed under the name Salmonella enterica subsp. enterica serovar Lexington. Its description in RNAcentral is "partial 23S ribosomal RNA". It matches the Rfam family "Bacterial large subunit ribosomal RNA", at positions 1154 to 2236 of the family's 2925-position model. The record is from RNAcentral. Lineage: Bacteria; Pseudomonadati; Pseudomonadota; Gammaproteobacteria; Enterobacterales; Enterobacteriaceae.
CGUAUCACUUAAAGCGAUUCAGCGGGUUACGAUUGACGGAGCGAAGCGACGUCAAAGCGUAUACAAAGUCGAGUCGGUUUAAGGAUACGUUCGUUGGGUAGGGGAGCGUUCUGUAAGCCUGUGAAGGUGGCCUGUGAGGGUUGCUGGAGGUAUCAGAAGUGCGAAUGCUGACAUAAGUAACGAUAAAGCGGGUGAAAAGCCCGCUCGCCGGAAGACCAAGGGUUCCUGUCCAACGUUAAUCGGGGCAGGGUGAGUCGACCCCUAAGGCGAGGCCGAAAGGCGUAGUCGAUGGGAAACGGGUUAAUAUUCCCGUACUUGGUGUUACUGCGAAGGGGGGACGGAGAAGGCUAUGUUGGCCGGGCGACGGUUGUCCCGGUUUAAGCGUGUAGGUGUGUGUUCCAGGUAAAUCCGGUUCACUUUAACACUGAGGCGUGACGACGAGGCACUACGGUGCUGAAGCAACAAAUGCCCUGCUUCCAGGAAAAGCCUCUAAGCAUCAGGUAACAUCAAAUCGUACCCCAAACCGACACAGGUGGUCAGGUAGAGAAUACCAAGGCGCUUGAGAGAACUCGGGUGAAGGAACUAGGCAAAAUGGUGCCGUAACUUCGGGAGAAGGCACGCUGACAUGUAGGUGAAGUGAUUUACUCAUGGAGCUGAAGUCAGUCGAAGAUACCAGCUGGCUGCAACUGUUUAUUAAAAACACAGCACUGUGCAAACACGAAAGUGGACGUAUACGGUGUGACGCCUGCCCGGUGCCGGAAGGUUAAUUGAUGGGGUCAGCGCAAGCGAAGCUCCUGAUCGAAGCCCCGGUAAACGGCGGCCGUAACUAUAACGGUCCUAAGGUAGCGAAAUUCCUUGUCGGGUAAGUUCCGACCUGCACGAAUGGCGUAAUGAUGGCCAGGCUGUCUCCACCCGAGACUCAGUGAAAUUGAACUCGCUGUGAAGAUGCAGUGUACCCGCGGCAAGACGGAAAGACCCCGUGAACCUUUACUAUAGCUUGACACUGAACAUUGAGCCUUGAUGUGUAGGAUAGGUGGGAGGCUUUGAAGCGUGGACGCCAGUCUGCGUGGAGCCGACCUUGAAAUACCACCCUUUAAUGUUUGAUGUUCUAACGUGGACCCGU